GGCUCAGGUGGACAUUUAUUUAAUAAAUGACACAAUGCGUAAUUAUCGCCAGGCACUAAUAAAAUGUGUUAAGUCUUUUUAAAUACAGUAGCUCUGCUGCUUGCUGAAACCAGAAGACUGGGUGUACAUGGAGGUCCACCAGCAAGGAACUGCCCUGGCUCCAUGCUGAAAGACCCUUAUCAAAUCCUGUUAAUUACCAACACUGCUGUAAAGUGCCAAGAAUUGACUACCUGCCCAUGUUCCUCACUGUGAUGACUCUCUGACUAAUGAUUGGUCUAUCUUUCCUUCUGGCGUUGUUGCUCUUUCUGGACGGCAGGAGUGAAGGACAAGGUAAAAGAACUGGUAACUUCUCCUUUGUUUGCUGACAGACCCACUGAGCCUUUGAAUUUUGCUAAGAAAACAACCUCUCCACCUGAGGACAUAAUAAAGCCUCCAAGCAAGCAAGGUGAUUGUGCUAGUAACCUCUCCCUUGCUGCCUCACUGCUGGACAGCUAAGUCAAUUAAGACUACGAAAUCUCGAAGAAUAGCUUGCGGAAGCUAGCCAAAACUACCUGAAAAUGAAACUUUUAAUAUAUUUCCUUGAAAAUAU
Molecule: long non-coding RNA, 589 nt
Organism: Gopherus evgoodei (Goodes thornscrub tortoise)
Lineage: Eukaryota; Metazoa; Chordata; Testudines; Testudinidae
Exons: 3
Source: RefSeq, a predicted model, not a curated record